GAUGAACGCUGGCGGCGUGCCUAAUACAUGCAAGUCGAGCGAACGGACGAGAAGCUUGCUUCUCUGAUGUUAGCGGCGGACGGGUAAGUAACACGUGGAUAACCUACCUAUAAGACUGGGAUAACUUCGGGAAACCGUAGCUAAUACCGGAUAAUAUUUUGAACCGCAUGGUUCAAAAGUGAAAGACGGUCUUGCUGUCACUAAUAGAUGGAUCCGCGCUGCAUUAGCUAGUUGGUAAGGUAACGGCUUACCAAGGCAACGAUGCAUAGCCGACCUGAGAGGGUGAUCGGCCACACUGGAACUGAGACACGGUCCAGACUCCUACGGGAGGCAGCAGUAGGGAAUCUUCCGCAAUGGGCGAAAGCCUGACGGAGCAACGCCGCGUGAGUGAUGAAGGUCUUCGGAUCGUAAAACUCUGUUAUUAGGGAAGAACAUAUGUGUAAGUACCUGUGCACAUCUUGACGGUACCUAAUCAGAAAGCCACGGCUAACUCCGUG
RNAcentral lists this ribosomal RNA (497 nucleotides) under uncultured bacterium. RNAcentral describes it as "partial 16S ribosomal RNA". It matches the Rfam family "Bacterial small subunit ribosomal RNA", at positions 28 to 507 of the family's 1533-position model. The record is from RNAcentral.